CCUACGGGAGGCAGCAGUGAGGAAUAUUGGUCAAUGGACGAGAGUCUGAACCAGCCAAGUCGCGUGAAGGAUGACUGCCCUAUGGGUUGUAAACUUCUUUUAUAUGGGAAUAAAAUGUUCCACGUGUGGGAUUUUGUAUGUACCAUAUGAAUAAGGAUCGGCUAACUCCGUGCCAGCCGCCGCGGUAAUACGGAGGAUCCGAGCGUUAUCCGGAUUUUAUGGGUUUAAAGGGCGCGUAGGUGGAUUGUUAAGUCAGUUGUGAAAGUUUGCGGCUCAACCGUAAAAUUGCAGUUGAAACUGGCAGUCGUGAGGAGAGGAGAGGUGGGCGGAAUGCGUGGUGUAGCGGUGAAAUGCGUAGAUAUCACGAAGAACUCCGAUUGCGAAGGCAGCUCACUGGACUACAACUGACACUGAGGCUCGAAAGUGUGGGUAUCAAACAGGAUUAGAUACCCCAGUAGUC
RNAcentral lists this ribosomal RNA (460 nucleotides) under uncultured bacterium. RNAcentral's name for it is "partial 16S ribosomal RNA". It matches the Rfam family "Bacterial small subunit ribosomal RNA", at positions 338 to 795 of the family's 1533-position model. The record is from RNAcentral.